CAAAAAAUAGUUUAAUUAAAAUUUUAACUUUGGAAGUUAUAGAUGGGAAUGCCCCCUUUUUUGA
This 64-nucleotide transfer RNA is filed under the name Tropostreptus austerus. RNAcentral describes it as "tRNA-Pro". Lineage: Eukaryota; Metazoa; Arthropoda; Diplopoda; Spirostreptida; Spirostreptidae. The record is from RNAcentral.